GGCGUGAUGGGAUGGAUCAGGAAAUGACCUCAGUGGGUGAGGAAGUGACUUCAGAGUCUGUGGUCCUUUGCUGACUCACAGUCAGGUGAUUGACAGUCAGGUGACUACUGGUGUCAGGCAGGUUAGUUAUGGUAAGGCUAUAAGCUGUAUU
Molecule: long non-coding RNA, 151 nt
Organism: Perognathus longimembris pacificus (Pacific pocket mouse)
Lineage: Eukaryota; Metazoa; Chordata; Mammalia; Rodentia; Heteromyidae
Exons: 4
Source: RefSeq, a predicted model, not a curated record